CCGCGGUAAUACGUAGGGUGCGAGCGUUAAUCGGAAUUACUGGGCGUAAAGGGUGCGCAGGCGGUUCUGUAAGUCAGAUGUGAAAUCCCCGGGCUUAACCUGGGAACUGCGUUUGAAACUACAGGACUAGAGUGUGGCAGAGGGGGGUGGAAUUCCAUGUGUAGCAGUGAAAUGCGUAGAGAUAUGGAAGAACAUCGAUGGCGAAGGCAGCCCCCUGGGUUAACACUAACGCUCAUGCACGAAAGCGUGG
This 250-nucleotide ribosomal RNA is filed under the name uncultured bacterium. Its description in RNAcentral is "partial 16S ribosomal RNA". It matches the Rfam family "Bacterial small subunit ribosomal RNA", at positions 515 to 764 of the family's 1533-position model. The record is from RNAcentral.